AAAAAAGACGCAAACUAACCCUUGACAACUUGCAGAGCGCAGGAAAUUGUGUUGGCCACAGAGAAAAUGAAUCAGCAAGCAUACCGAAUGAAAAUGAGGACAUGACCACUCCUAGCUGGAAAGCAGCCAGACGGGCGGACCGGCGGCCUUGAGGAUGCGAGGAUUGGUGUGGAUCCAAGAAAAAGUCUGGAGACCUAUUGCUGAGACCACCGACCUAUCUGCUAAAAAUACAUUGCACUUUUCCAGGGGAGACAUUUUCUCUGAGAGGCAGAGCAACCGAAUCAAAUAAAAGUGCUGAAAACGGAAAAAAAAGCCAAGUGGAAAAUGAGGAGUAACGAUAUUUUAAAGAAGAAGAAAAGUGAUGUUUUUGAGAUAGUCUUACUUUGUAGCCAUGCUUGACUCACUGGCAGAAAAAUUAUUUUAUUCUUUUUUUCCCCUUACUGUCCUUCACCGUCACACUUGUUUUGUGCAGACAAUGAUCAAACCCAGUGUUUUGGGCGUGCUUGGCGAGCUCCCUAACUGAGACACAGCCUAAUUGUUCUAACUUCUUAGCCAAAUGAAAGUCAUCAUAAAAUAAAGCAAAACAAAACCUUGGAAACAAGCUCUAUAGAGUGUCUUCAAAUUGGUGCACACCAUUUCUCCAAAGGAGCGAAAAGAAAUAUAGGCAAUAUUUUUCCUAUUCCUUCCUCCCACCCCCUGCCUUGUGCACAUGCUCUAUUACUAGGAGUGGCACUCCCAGGCUUAUACUUCUGAACUCUAAUCACUGCUCAUC
This 772-nucleotide long non-coding RNA is filed under the name Cricetulus griseus (Chinese hamster). RNAcentral's name for it is "lncRNA (ENSCGRG00015039978.1)". The record is from RNAcentral. Lineage: Eukaryota; Metazoa; Chordata; Mammalia; Rodentia; Cricetidae.